UACGUAGGUGGCAAGCGUUGUCCGGAAUUAUUGGGCGUAAAGCGCGCGCAGGCGGUCUCUUAAGUCUGAUGUGAAAGCCCACGGCUCAACCGUGGAGGGUCAUUGGAAACUGGGAGACUUGAGUACAGAAGAGGAGAGUGGAAUUCCACGUGUAGCGGUGAAAUGCGUAGAUAUGUGGAGGAACACCAGUGGCGAAGGCGACUCUCUGGUCUGUAACUGACGCUGAGGCGCGAAAGCGUGGGGAGCAAAC
RNAcentral lists this ribosomal RNA (250 nucleotides) under uncultured Bacillus sp. RNAcentral describes it as "partial 16S ribosomal RNA". It matches the Rfam family "Bacterial small subunit ribosomal RNA", at positions 524 to 773 of the family's 1533-position model. The record is from RNAcentral. Lineage: Bacteria; Bacillati; Bacillota; Bacilli; Caryophanales; Bacillaceae.